GUCCACGCCGUAAACGAUGUCGACUUGGAGGUUGUUCCCUUGAGGAGUGGCUUCCGGAGCUAACGCGUUAAGUCGACCGCCUGGGGAGUACGGCCGCAAGGUUAAAACUCAAAUGAAUUGACGGGGGCCCGCACAAGCGGUGGAGCAUGUGGUUUAAUUCGAUGCAACGCGAAGAACCUUACCUACUCUUGACAUCCAGCGAAUUCGGCAGAGAUGCCUUAGUGCCUUCGGGAACGCUGAGACAGGUGCUGCAUGGCUGUCGU
RNAcentral lists this ribosomal RNA (263 nucleotides) under uncultured bacterium. Its description in RNAcentral is "partial 16S ribosomal RNA". It matches the Rfam family "Bacterial small subunit ribosomal RNA", at positions 793 to 1055 of the family's 1533-position model. The record is from RNAcentral.